ACGACUCUCGGCAACGGAUAUCUCGGCUCUCGCAUCGAUGAAGAACGUAGCGAAAUGCGAUACUUGGUGUGAAUUGCAGAAUCCCGUGAACCAUCGAGUCUUUGAACGCAAGUUGCGCCCGAAGCCUCUAGGCCGAGGGCACGCCUGCCUGGGCGUCACG
This 160-nucleotide ribosomal RNA is filed under the name Crataegus laevigata. Its description in RNAcentral is "5.8S ribosomal RNA". It matches the Rfam family "5.8S ribosomal RNA". From Rfam's summary of the family: 5.8S ribosomal RNA (5.8S rRNA) is a component of the large subunit of the eukaryotic ribosome. It is transcribed by RNA polymerase I as part of the 45S precursor that also contains 18S and 28S rRNA. Functionally, it is thought that 5.8S rRNA may be involved in ribosome translocation. The record is from RNAcentral. Lineage: Eukaryota; Viridiplantae; Streptophyta; Magnoliopsida; Rosales; Rosaceae.